Long non-coding RNA from Daphnia carinata, 766 nucleotides. RefSeq lists it as uncharacterized. NCBI's taxonomy places the organism in Eukaryota, Metazoa, Arthropoda, Branchiopoda, Diplostraca, Daphniidae. The record is from RefSeq and is a predicted model, not a curated record. The transcript is spliced from 3 exons.
GGGACCGUGUUUUGGCCGAAAAUGGGCAAAUUUGCAAUAGACUAAAUUCAUUAAUUAUUUUUUUAAAAUUUAGUAAUUACUUCAUUUGUAAUUUAAUUUAACUUUUUAGGAAGUGCUAAUUUAUAGAAACUCAUUAUUCUCAACACCCAAUUAAAGUCUUAUUUGUCAAACAAAAUAUUUGCUUUAGUCUUGUAGUGGGCUAGUCGCUAGGUGGCCCAGGUGCUGUGCUGAGCUGAGCUGCUGAUGGCCACGUUUAACAUAGCGUCGUAGCGGCUGGUUAUAUCACGGCAGCCGAACGUGGCAGACCUUGCUUUUUGUAGGUGAAAUUCAAGGGAAGAACUGCAAAUGUUCGUCGCCGUCUUGUACGAACGAUGUGGUCUGGCGAACACCUUGCCAAGGUGACCAUGCAUUACCUUUGAAUGUAUUUAAGGGUAAGUUGCAAGUCGGUAGAUUUGCUCCGCAAUUUUCAGGAUACCAGCACCCUGCUUCGCGAGAACUACUCUACGUUGUUCUCGGGGACUUAGACGAACAUCUGAAUCCGAUUUUGAAGAAGUCUUGCAUCGAUGGACACUGACAAAAUAUAGGAAGAUUCGUAAUUAUAAAGAAUUGGGAAAGAAAAUUGACGGAGGCUCAGUGCCAAAAAAAUUAUGGUAGUUGGAAUGAUGACCGAAGCUCCUCGGAUUCGUUUAUUUCACGCGUUAUGGUACUUAAAGAAAAUAAAUGUGUACCUGGGCCCCUUUGUUUCUGUGACCCGAUUUCCUCUUCA